This 433-nucleotide ribosomal RNA is filed under the name uncultured bacterium. RNAcentral's name for it is "partial 16S ribosomal RNA". It matches the Rfam family "Bacterial small subunit ribosomal RNA", at positions 29 to 507 of the family's 1533-position model. The record is from RNAcentral.
AACGAACGCUGGCGGCAUGCCUAACACAUGCCAGUCGAACGAGACCUUCGGGUCUAGUGGCGCACGGGUGCGUAACGCGUGGGAACCUGCCCUUAGGUUCGGAAUAACUCCCCGAAAGGGGUGCUAAUACCGGAUAAUGUCUUCGGACCAAGGAUUUAUCGCCUUUGGAUGGGCCCGCGUUGGAUUAGCUAGUUGGUAGGGUAAAAGCCUACCAAGGCGACGAUCCAUAGCUGGUUUGAGAGGAUGAUCAGCCACACUGGGACUGAGACACGGCCCAGACUCCUACGGGAGGCAGCAGUGGGGAAUAUUGGACAAUGGGCGAAAGCCUGAUCCAGCAAUGCCGGGUGAGUGAUGAAGGCAUUAGGGUUGUAAAGCUCUAUUACCCGGGAUGAUAAUGACAGUACCGGGAGAAUAAGCUCCGGCUAACUACGUG